AAGAAGAAGAAAACGCCGCUGAGCUCAAAAUUGGCGAUGAGUUUUUGAAGGCCAAAUGUCUAAUGAACUGUGAAGUCGCAUUGAUUCUUGAACACAAGUAUGAGCAGAUCCAGCAGAUGUCUGAUGAUCCAACAAAUCAGAUUUCGCAGGUAUUUGAAAAGUCGCUGCAAUAUGUGAAGCGUUUCAGUCGGUACAAGAACCCUGAUGCUGUUAGACAAGCUCGAGAAAUUCUUAGUAGGUAUCCACUUGCUGAAUUCGAGCUCUGUGUUCUUGGGAAUCUUUGCCCCGAAACUGUUGAGGAAGGUAUUGCCAUGGUCCCAUCCAUCAAGAAUAGAGGACGUGCACUUGACGAGGAAGCAAUUGAGAAAAUGCUAACUGACCUUUCCCUAAUAAAGAAAUUCGAGUAGUCCUAUUAUAGUGCUUGUCUUGCUAUGCUGCAGCAGUCUCUGCUUCCGAACCUGUACCUCCAUAUGUUUAUUAGUAGCAGCUCUGUAAUGCAAAUUGGGCUCUGGCAUUAUGUUGAAAACUUUAUCUGUUGAUUGAAGAAGAAAACUCUCUCUGGACCCUUUUUUUUUCUUUUUGGUAGCUGGUUGUAACCACAAUCCUUUGGUGCACGGGCCUAAAUCAUUGUAAUGACAUACAUGGUUUGUCGUUUCGCUUUUGUGAAAGACAAAUAAGAGCAUACCUUGAUCGGAA
Molecule: unclassified non-coding RNA, 696 nt
Filed under: Hevea brasiliensis (rubber tree)
Lineage: Eukaryota; Viridiplantae; Streptophyta; Magnoliopsida; Malpighiales; Euphorbiaceae
Source: RNAcentral